RNAcentral lists this long non-coding RNA (578 nucleotides) under Helianthus annuus (common sunflower). RNAcentral's name for it is "hypothetical non coding rna". Lineage: Eukaryota; Viridiplantae; Streptophyta; Magnoliopsida; Asterales; Asteraceae. The record is from RNAcentral.
UGGUUCACAUAUCAAUUAUCUCAUGUGGCCUACCCUCCGUUACCAACUGAUUUAACCUCAAAAAUAGGUCAACAAAAAGAUUAGAUUGGUAGCUAAGAUGUUAUGGAUUAGGUUGCAAUACAUCAAAUAACAUACCCAGCCGACAAUAUUAAGGCCUUUCUCUAUGAACGAAGCAUCGGUGGAGGGAGGAGGCCGGUGGUUGGAGGAGCCGGUGGAGAUGGAGGGCGGCGGAGGAGAACGGAGGCUGUAAGGGCGCUGCGAUGGAGGACUAUUGCGACGUCGAUGGAGGGCGGCGGAGUUGUCGAUGAGAGGAGGAGAUGAUGGCGGCUGUUAGGAGAAAGAUGCUGUUGGUUGUGGAGGAGAAGGAUGAUGUCUGUGUAUUGAGGAGAAGAGGCGAUAUGUGAAAAAUAGCUGAACCAUUCAGAGCUGAAUGGUUCCAUUAAGAGGUGAAGUUUUUGUGAACCAAACAGUCUAGCCUCUGACCGAUUCAGAGGCUUGCCUUUUAAUAGAGCCAUUCAGAUGUAAACAAACAGCCCUAAGUCUUGUAAUUUGCACCCAUGGAAUAUACAGAAAAUUGU